Molecule: long non-coding RNA, 852 nt
Organism: Ostrea edulis (European flat oyster)
Lineage: Eukaryota; Metazoa; Mollusca; Bivalvia; Ostreida; Ostreidae
Exons: 2
Source: RefSeq, a predicted model, not a curated record
GUGCAUUGAUUGUUAAUAAAUCAAAGAGAGCAGCCUAAUGAAUUUGAAUCACUUUUGAAAACUUGGUAGCCAAGGAGAAAUAGCUUGAAGGAGUAAAACAACAUGAACCUUUGUUUGCCAUGGUAAAACGGAAUUUUGAUAAUUGUGACUGAACAUUUUAACAAUACCACUAGAAUUUUACAUUUACAUAUGAACAUUUCAGACACAUCAACGAUGUUAGAACUAUCAAGCUUCAUCUCUCGAAAUCGAAAAAGAUCAGCAGAUAGCAUCGUUUUACAGAUAGGAUGUGUUUUACAGGCAGCAUGCGUUUUACAGAUAUGCAUCAUGUCUGUAAAACGCAUGCAUUAUGCGUUUAGAGACAUGGUGCGUUUUACAGACAGCAUGCGCUUUCCAGACAUGAUGUGUUUUACAGACAGAAUGUGUUUACAUAUCCUAUAUCAAAUGACAACUUUGAUACCAUUCUUGAUAAGAUAAUGAACAAUCACAAGAAAAAGGAAGAUUUUAGCUUGCAUUCGUUUUGUGAAAUUAACAUUUUCUUUCUGUGGGGAAAACCAAUCGAUAUCAGAAGAACAAGAGAGACUCGUCGACGGGAUCGUAUAAAGUGAAAUCAGAAAGUCCAACAUUGUAAAAGUCCAUUGAUACCAAACAUGCAGCUAAAGUAACUGUGUCUUUUCUAUGUACCAUCCGAGCUGUCGAUGUUGACAUUCAGGAGAAUCUAACGUGGGAUGAGAGUGUAAGCGUUCUUAUGAUGGAUGCUUGGAAUGAAAAUGUUCUGAUUUUAAGGAGUAGAUAAAAUAAUUAAACAAAUCUUGUGUUUUAUUUUCAGAUUCUUGUUAAUAAAUAUAAACAGCU